This 252-nucleotide ribosomal RNA is filed under the name uncultured microorganism. Its description in RNAcentral is "partial 16S ribosomal RNA". It matches the Rfam family "Bacterial small subunit ribosomal RNA", at positions 524 to 776 of the family's 1533-position model. The record is from RNAcentral.
UACGUAGGUCCCGAGCGUUGUCCGGAUUUAUUGGGCGUAAAGCGAGCGCAGGUGGUUUAAUAAGUCUGAUGUAAAAGGCAGUGGCUCAACCAUUGUGUGCAUUGGAAACUGUUAGACUUGAGUGCAGUAGAGGAGAGUGGAAUUCCAUGUGUAGCGGUGAAAUGCGUAGAUAUAUGGAGGAACACCGGUGGCGAAAGCGGCUCUCUGGACUGUAACUGACACUGAGGCGCGAAAGCGUGGGGAGCAAACAGG